GACGAACGCUGGCGGCGUGCUUAACACAUGCAAGUCGAACGGAAAGGCCCUGCUUUUGUGGGGUGCUCGAGUGGCGAACGGGUGAGUAACACGUGAGUAACCUGUCCUUGACUUUGGGAUAACUUCAGGCAACUGGGGCUAAUACCGGAUAGGAGCUCCUGCUGCAUGGUGGGGGUUGGAAAGUUUCGGCGGUUGGGGAUGGACUCGCGGCUUAUCAGCUUGUUGGUGUGGUAGUGGCUUACCAAGGCUUUGACGGGUAGCCGGCCUGAGAGGGUGACCGGCCACAUUGGGACUGUGAUGCGGCCCAGACUCCUACGGGAGGCAGUAGUGGCGUAUAUUGCACAAUGGGCUGACGCCUGAGGCAGCAACGCCGCGUGCGGGAUGACGUCCUUCGGUUUGUAAACCGCUUUCGCCUGUUACGAAGCGUGAGUGACGGUAAUGGGUAAAGAAGCACCGGCUAACUACGUG
RNAcentral lists this ribosomal RNA (468 nucleotides) under uncultured bacterium. RNAcentral's name for it is "partial 16S ribosomal RNA". It matches the Rfam family "Bacterial small subunit ribosomal RNA", at positions 28 to 507 of the family's 1533-position model. The record is from RNAcentral.